This 504-nucleotide ribosomal RNA is filed under the name Lydus trimaculatus italicus. RNAcentral describes it as "partial large subunit ribosomal RNA". It matches the Rfam family "Bacterial large subunit ribosomal RNA", at positions 1797 to 2572 of the family's 2925-position model. Lineage: Eukaryota; Metazoa; Arthropoda; Insecta; Coleoptera; Meloidae. The record is from RNAcentral.
CGCCUGUUUAUCAAAAACAUGUCUUUUUGUUAAUUAUUUAAGGUUUGGCCUGCUCCAUGAAUGUAAUUAAAUAGCCGCAGUAUUUUGACUGUGCAAAGGUAGCAUAAUCAUUAGUUUUUUAAUUGAAAGCUGGAAUGAAGGGUCGGAUGAGAAAGUUUCUGUCUCAGUGGUAUUUUCUUUGAAUUUUAUUUUUAAGUUAAAAAGCUUAGAUUUUAUAAGAAGACGAGAAGACCCUAUAGAGUUUAAUAGGUUUACAAUGUAUUUAUUUGUAGGUAUAAAUUUAAUUACUUUGUAUCUUAUUUGGUUGGGGUGACUUAAGAAUUGAUUAAACUUCUUUGUUUAUUAACAUUGAUUAGUGAAUAAUUGAUCCUAAGUUUUGGAUUAUAAGAAUAAAUUACCUUAGGGAUAACAGCGUAAUUUUUUUAGAGAGUUCUUAUCGAUAAAAAGGAUUGCGACCUCGAUGUUGGAUUAAAGUUAAAUUUUGGUGCAAAAGCUAGGGAUUUA